UACGUAGGGUGCAAGCGUUAAUCGGAAUUACUGGGCGUAAAGCGUGCGCAGGCGGUUAUGUAAGACAGGUGUGAAAUCCCCCGGGCUUAACCUGGGAACUGCAUUUGUGACUGCAUAGCUAGAGUACGGUAGAGGGGGAUGGAAUUCCGCGUGUAGCAGUGAAAUGCGUAGAUAUGCGGAGGAACACCGAUGGCGAAGGCAAUCCCCUGGACCUGUACUGACGCUCAUGCACGAAAGCGUGGGGAGCAAACAGG
Molecule: ribosomal RNA, 254 nt
Filed under: uncultured bacterium
Lineage: Bacteria
Description: partial 16S ribosomal RNA
Rfam family: Bacterial small subunit ribosomal RNA
Source: RNAcentral